CGGACGAGGCCAGCGGUGGAGUGGCGGUGGGAAGCUGGCUCAGCAUGCGUCCAAUCAGCUCCUCGUAGGUCUCCAGAACGCCGUGCAUGAAGACCAUCUUCAUCUGGAGAGGAGAGCCAAACAUGAAGCUGCUGCAGGAGCCACAGUGGAGGGUAGAAGAGCCAGACGAGGAUCUGGAACCGCAGGUUGGAGACCCCUGGACUGGAGGUUUGUGAUCCAGAAGCUUCUCCAGGCUGAAGUUUAAUGCUUGAGACUGUUUUUUAGACUUUCGCUUUCAGGUCUGCAAACCUUUAGCUGCUCGUUUGACAAGUCAGAAGUGAAAAAGUUUCAUGAGGUUCCAGACCAGGAAACACUAGAGCUGCUGCAUCUGAGAACAAACCGGUUCUAUAGACUGUGACUGAUGCAGAUCCUCCUGCAGCACGACUACGGCUCCCUAUGUGGGACCAAAAACAAGAAGUUUUUGUGAAAACUAAAUUAUUUUACAUCUUUAGAACUUGAUUCCGAUCCCAAAAAUGUAUUAAAAAAAACAAAGUGAAUGUGA
This is a long non-coding RNA of Oryzias melastigma (Indian medaka), 541 nucleotides long. RefSeq lists it as uncharacterized. The record is from RefSeq and is a predicted model, not a curated record. The transcript is spliced from 2 exons. Lineage: Eukaryota; Metazoa; Chordata; Actinopteri; Beloniformes; Adrianichthyidae.